ACCUGGCUGGCUCAGUUGGUAGAGCAUGCGACUCUUGAUCUCGGGGUCAUGAGUUCAAGCCCCAUGUUGGGUG
RNAcentral lists this transfer RNA (73 nucleotides) under Ailuropoda melanoleuca (giant panda). It matches the Rfam family "tRNA". From Rfam's summary of the family: Transfer RNA (tRNA) molecules are approximately 80 nucleotides in length. Their secondary structure includes four short double-helical elements and three loops (D, anti-codon, and T loops). The record is from Rfam by way of RNAcentral. Lineage: Eukaryota; Metazoa; Chordata; Mammalia; Carnivora; Ursidae.